RNAcentral lists this ribosomal RNA (115 nucleotides) under Acidimicrobiales bacterium. Lineage: Bacteria; Bacillati; Actinomycetota; Acidimicrobiia; Acidimicrobiales. The record is from RNAcentral.
UUUGGUGGUCAUGGCGCGAGUGAAACACCCGAUCCCAUUCCGAACUCGUCCGUUAAGCACCGCUGCGCCGAUGGUACUGCGUCUUAAGACGUGGGAGAGUAGGUCGCCGCCAAAC